Molecule: unclassified non-coding RNA, 347 nt
Filed under: uncultured fungus
Lineage: Eukaryota; Fungi
Description: partial contains 5.8S ribosomal RNA, internal transcribed spacer 2, and large subunit ribosomal RNA
Rfam family: 5.8S ribosomal RNA (bases 1-52)
Source: RNAcentral
AACGCAUAUUGCGCCUUCUGGUAUUCCGGAAGGCAUGCUUGUUUGAGUAUCAGUAACAACCUCAGCCCCCAUUCUCUUCACUUCGAGGAGAAAGGGGUUGGAUUUGAGCAAAUCCACCCUACUUUUUAGUGGGGGGCGGAUGCUUGAAAUAGAGGUUCGGCCGGACGGUUAAUUCCCUGGGCUACAAGCAUUUCAUACUUAAUCCCGUUAAACGGAUUAUUUCCUUUGCUGCAGCCAACUAACAGGAAUCGUCAGGGUCUGACUGAUGCAGGAAAGUUGGGACGGAUUUCGGUCCGCGCUCUUCUAAACUCGAUCUCAAAUCAAGUAAGACUACCCGCUGAACUUAA